CAAGAAUAAACCAAAAAUAAUCUGAAGAAAUUUCAUUCCUUCUGAGAGAGGCAAAUAGGAUGUAGAAACCCUGCCCAGCUGACUCAAAAUGAAAAGUCCAGAAGCAGUUGCCAAAACAUCUACCUCAAAGGGCACAUUUAAAUUGAAUGAGGAAUCCCAUCCCUACGUAAGGACCAAUGCUUUGGGACUGAAACACCAAUGAAAUGACAAAGCCUUUUGUUUUUCUAUUUUCACAGAGGGUUUUGAGUCAAAGGAUUUUUUCAACUAUUAGUUGUUCCAUGGGUACUAUUGAUCAAUGGAGUGGGAGAAAUUCCUCUUAUUGUUCACAUCUGAUUGUUUUCCUGAUUGCUUGCACCAUAGGCCUAACUUUGGAAGCCCACCUGUAUCACCACCUCCUGAAAUGAGACACAACUGUUUAACUGGACUGAUCUAUUCUCAGGACUAAGAGAUUGGUUUGGUGAGAUGGAGCAGUCUACCAACUAAAAUUCUGGACUGUGAAACUUCUUUGAGAAGUUUCAAAGGCAGGACUGAAGAAGCUCAAAAUGAGCCUUCCCAAAAUAAGACACUUUUGCAUGUGCAUUAUUUUGAGCUAGGGGCACUGGAGACUGUGUGAGUUCAAGAGAAAACUUUGCCCCUCCCUUAACUACCUAGAAGAAUUUAAAUUGGG
This 667-nucleotide long non-coding RNA is filed under the name Equus caballus (horse). RNAcentral describes it as "lncRNA (ENSECAG00000049130.1)". Lineage: Eukaryota; Metazoa; Chordata; Mammalia; Perissodactyla; Equidae. The record is from RNAcentral.